RNAcentral lists this long non-coding RNA (4170 nucleotides) under Homo sapiens (human). RNAcentral's name for it is "HSALNT0317739". Lineage: Eukaryota; Metazoa; Chordata; Mammalia; Primates; Hominidae. The record is from RNAcentral.
UGCUGUGGGGGGAGGGGGUUGUUCAAGGGAUGGGGACGAUCAGGGUCUCUGGGAAGUGCUGACGUGUGCGCGUGUGCGGUGUGUUGCUUGUGGGUGCGUGUGUGGUGUGUGCAUGUGUGUGCGCGCGCGUGUGUGCGGGGUGUGCCGUGAGCGUGUGCCCGCGGUUCGGGGGAUGAGUAGGGGCGCUGACUUUUAGGACCAGCCAUUUGAGUCAAGCUGGAGACGACGUCUUAGAACCUAGGAUGAGUCUCGUUUGGUUUUAGUCUGCAAAGCUCGUCUGCAUCAGACAGGAAUUUUCCCCAGACGCGGGUGCACGUGAAUUAAUUCAUCAGAAGGCGGUUCACGGCCUGAGUGAGGGGGACGAGGGCGGCGAAUUCCUCCGCCUCAUUCCUACCCUGACGAUUCGAGAUGCUCGCUUCACCCCACUGAGAUGUAACUCAGUUUUGUGGGAUCCCACUGCCCUCCAGGUGCCGCUCCGAGUGCUCUACACAGAUUUUCAUUCAGUCCUUGCGGCACACGAAGGUAGGCGGCCCCACUGCCCUCACAGAGGCUUCCCAUGCAGGAGCCAGUGACUGGCGGAGCGCCGCUCACACUCAGGCUCCGCGAACUGCCUCCCUGCCCUCCCCUGCCCCGGACAGACGGUCCUCCAUAAGAGGCAGGAUUUCCCUGUGGUCCAAAGGUGUGUGUCCCUGCCACAUUGGGAGUUCAGCUCACUGCGGUCCUGUCCAGCUUGCCCCCGUCUCCCAUCCACAUCAGGAUCUGGCUUUGCCCCAGCUAUGUGGAAUGAGUGCAUGAACAAAUGAAUGGGUGGGUUGCUCCAUCUUGUGACAGGACAGCAAAGUCAGCUGGUUCUGCUCCUACGGCGCUCAGGGUCAGGUGAGACAGGCCGGCCCGCAGGCAGACAGGCCCUCAUCUCUGUAUUGGGGGUGGGGAAGGGGCUCUGGCAGGGCGCAUGCCCCAGCAGCAGGAACGUCAAGAGCAGAGGCCCUGGAGGAGACAGCCCGGAGCUGGCGCACAGUAAAGUCUUCAGAUAGGAGGGGCAGAGUGAGGGUGCCACCGUCGGGCAGCAGGUGCCCACCCAGAAGGGUCUUUGAGCCUUGCGGGGAAGUUCAGACUUUACCCUGAGGAUAAAGGAGGUCCUGGACCCGCAGGAGGAUGCCCUGGUGGGUCUAGAAGGAGCCCUGCCACUGGGGAGCUGGUGGGGUUUCCGCCCUCACGGUGCAAUCACAGGGUUGCCUGCUUAUCUCCCCCGCCCUUUUCCCAUCACUUCCUGAGACUCUGCAGAUGGUCAGCAGUGUUCCUGAGUGGAUGACAUUGGGUGGGCAGAGAGAGGGGAGGGCAGUCUGUGGUCCCAGUCAUGUAGAGCUUCCUUGUACAGUCUGUGGUCCCAGUCAUGUAGAGCUUCCUUGUACAGUCUGUUGAGCUCACAUACCCUCAAUGGCCCUUCACUCACAGGGAUGGCCUCUGCACUUCAGCUGGUUUCUGACACCUAAAAACAGAAGUGGAAAAGGGAGCAGACGCAGCCACAUUUUGAAAGCUGAUUCGGUUGCUUUCUGGCAGAAUCCCUGCCCCCAAGCACCUGCCAGGCCCACCCAUGAAGCCUCUUCCCACGCCUUAACUCUGCCCCAUGAGGGGACCUCAAGCAGUUGCAGUCUAGUCAGGUGAUUUGCAGAGCUCAGGGCUCAGGGAGGGGCACCCACCUCAGAAAAAAGCGCCGUGCUCAUGAGAAAUGACUUCUACAGGUUGUUGGGGAAAGAGGAGUUAUUUUAAAGAUCACAGAGCCCGUGAUGUGCCAGGCGCACCCACACAGGGCAUAUAGUCCCCGCAGCUGCCUCUGUGCUGGGGCCACGUCACCGUCCUGUCCUAAAGACAAGCAAUGUGAAGCCCAGAGAUGGUAUCUUAAAACAAUCGUGUGGUUUUUUUCUGAUUACAACAGCAAUUGUGUUAAUCCAACAAUAUUUUUCCUAUCAACUGUAAACCUUAUUUUAAUAUUUACAUAUUUAUUAGCAUUUAAAAUUCAAUCUCCUAGAAUAUUGACUUCAAUUAGUUUGGCUGAUUCUAAUUUUUUUUUUCUAAUUUGUUUAUCACUUAACUUUUUAAGUACUUUUUUUUUUUAGACAGAGUCUUGCUCUGUCACCCAGGCUGGAGUGCAGUGGUGCAAUCUCGGCUCACUGCAACCUCUGCCUCCUGGGCUCAAGCGAUUCUCCUGCCUCAACCUCCCGAGUAGCUGGGACUACAGGCUCACACCACCAUGCCCAGCUAAUUUUUAUAUUUUUAGUAGAGAUGGGGUUUCACCAUGUUGUCCAGGCUGGUCUCGAACUCCUGACCUCAAGUGAUCCCCCACCUCAGCCUCCCAAAGUGCUGGGAUUACAGGUGUGAGCCACCGUGCCUGGCCUGUUUUUAGUACUUUUAUCCUUUAUCUUUUUAACUACGUAAGUACUCAACAUUUUAAAUUAUUAAUCUUCACCAUGUUAUUUCCAAGAACAAUCACGAUUGAUCUUUCAGUUACACAGCCACGGUGUGUGCCUCUCUGUGUAACUCUGCACAGCUGGUGAUUUACUGAAAGAACUUACUCUCAUAAAACCACAGCCAGCGAGUUCUCAGAGACACAAUAAUGCACCUUAAUUAUGAGUUUAAAAGCUCUUGUCUUGUGAAAUGUAAUCGAUCCACAGAAAAAUCAUAAAGUAUACAUGUAAUAGCUUAAUGACUUAUAAAUGAAGAUCUGUAUACUUCCCACUCGAAAAACGGAAUAUUGCAGGAUUUGAGUACACAACCCGUACCUUUCCAACGACAGCCUCCCUCCCACCAGAGCUUCUGCUGAGUUCACUUGAAAUCACUUCCUUGCAUUUAUUUAUACUUUUAUUACCUUGAGGUGCAUCCCUAACCAUUCUAGUUCGAUUUUGCCUGGUGUUUGAACUUUAUAUUAAUGGAAUCAUAGGACAUAAUUCUUAUAUCUCUGGUUUCUUUCAUUCAACUUUGUGUCUGCGAAAUGUAUCCAUGUUGCAUGCAACGGGGGCUCAUUCAUCGCUGGUUACUGAUUCACUGCAUGAGUAUGACACAGUUUAUUAACCAUUUCACUGCUGAUGAACAUUUGAUCAUUUCUAGUUUGGGAAUAUUAUUAAUAAUUUUUGAACCUUCUUAUUUGUGUGCCCUGAUGUACAUGGACAUGCAUUUUAGGGGUGUAUACUUAGGGAAAUUGCCGGUUCAUGAGUAACACCUAUCUUCAGGUAUUACUUUUUGUGCCCUUUUAUGCUGAACUACAAUUUACGUGCAAUACCAAUCAUUCAUAUUAAGUGUACAACUCAGUGAGUUUAGACAACUGGACACCUUGUUGUGAGUCACCACCACCGAGAUGAUCCAGCACUGUCCCAACUCCCCCCAAGUUCUCCUUUGCAGGCACCCUCUCCCUCCAUUCUGGGCACAGGCAACCAUGAACCACUAUCUGUCACCGUAGCUUUAGUAUAAAAUUUCACAUACAUGGACUCAGGGAGCAUAGAGUCUUUCCUGUCUGGCUUCUUUCCGCUGGCAAAAUGCUUGGAGACUUUUCCACGUUGCUGCAUGAAUCAAUGGAUCAUUUGUUUUCGUGGCUGAGCAGAAUUCCACCAACAUUUGUUUACUCAUCCAUGAAAUGAUGGACAUUUGGUGUUUUUCCAUUGAGAUUGUUAUGAAUAAUGCUGCUAUUGUCAUUCAAGGACAAGUCUUCUGUGAACAUCUGUUUUCACUUCUCUUGGGUACAUCCUUAGAAGUGGUAUUGCUGGACUGUAUCAAAAGUUAAUAUUUAACUUUCAGGAAACUUACAAACUGUUUUCCAGAGUGGCUGUACCAUUUUGCAUUCCCAGACCGAAGUGUGAAAGCUCCAGAUGCCCCACGCCCUCACCAGCCCACGGUGUUGUCAGCCUUAAUAGUGCUGACCAUUCUGCCUGUUAAUAUGAUGAAUUACACUGAUUCAGUUUCAAAUGUCCAACCAAGCUUGCACUCCAGAGAUGAAGCCCACUUGAUCACAUGGAUUAUUCUUUUAAUAUAUGAUGGAUACGACUUGGCUGUUCUUUUGUUGAGGAUUUUUGUGUUUAUGUUAAUGAGGAUAUUAUUUGUAGUUUUCUUUUCUUGUAAUGUUUUUGUCUUUGUUCAGUGUCAGAGUAAUGCCAACUUCAUAAAGUGAGCUGGGAAGUA